Molecule: ribosomal RNA, 794 nt
Filed under: Clostridioides difficile F152
Lineage: Bacteria; Bacillati; Bacillota; Clostridia; Peptostreptococcales; Peptostreptococcaceae
Description: bacterial SSU rRNA
Rfam family: Bacterial small subunit ribosomal RNA
Source: RNAcentral
AGAGUUUGAUCCUGGCUCAGGAUGAACGCUGGCGGCGUGCCUAACACAUGCAAGUUGAGCGAUUUACUUCGGUAAAGAGCGGCGGACGGGUGAGUAACGCGUGGGUAACCUACCCUGUACACACGGAUAACAUACCGAAAGGUAUGCUAAUACGGGAUAAUAUAUUUGAGAGGCAUCUCUUGAAUAUCAAAGGUGAGCCAGUACAGGAUGGACCCGCGUCUGAUUAGCUAGUUGGUAAGGUAACGGCUUACCAAGGCAACGAUCAGUAGCCGACCUGAGAGGGUGAUCGGCCACAUUGGAACUGAGACACGGUCCAAACUCCUACGGGAGGCAGCAGUGGGGAAUAUUGCACAAUGGGCGAAAGCCUGAUGCAGCAACGCCGCGUGAGUGAUGAAGGCCUUCGGGUCGUAAAACUCUGUCCUCAAGGAAGAUAAUGACGGUACUUGAGGAGGAAGCCCCGGCUAACUACGUGCCAGCAGCCGCGGUAAUACGUAGGGGGCGAGCGUUAUCCGGAUUUACUGGGCGUAAAGGGUGCGUAGGCGGUCUUUCAAGUCAGGAGUGAAAGGCUACGGCUCAACCGUAGUAAGCUCUUGAAACUGGGAGACUUGAGUGCAGGAGAGGAGAGUGGAAUUCCUAGUGUAGCGGUGAAAUGCGUAGAUAUUAGGAGGAACACCAGUUGCGAAGGCGGCUCUCUGGACUGUAACUGACGCUGAGGCACGAAAGCGUGGGGAGCAAACAGGAUUAGAUACCCUGGUAGUCCACGCUGUAAACGAUGAGUACUAGGUGUCGGGGGU